UAGGGAAUCUUCCACAAUGGACGCAAAUCUGAUGGAGCAACGCCGCGUGAGUGAAGAAGGGUUUCGGCUCGUAAAGCUCUGUUGGUAGUGAAGAAAGAUAGAGGUAGUAACUGGCCUUUAUUUGACGGUAAUUACUUAGAAAGUCACGGCUAACUACGUGCCAGCAGCCGCGGUAAUACGUAGGUGGCAAGCGUUGUCCGGAUUUAUUGGGCGUAAAGCGAGUGCAGGCGGUUCAAUAAGUCUGAUGUGAAAGCCUUCGGCUCAACCGGAGAAUUGCAUCAGAAACUGUUGAACUUGAGUGCAGAAGAGGAGAGUGGAACUCCAUGUGUAGCGGUGGAAUGCGUAGAUAUAUGGAAGAACACCAGUGGCGAAGGCGGCUCUCUGGUCUGCAACUGACGCUGAGGCUCGAAAGCAUGGGUAGCGAACAGGAUUAGAUACCCUGGUAGUCCAUGCCGUAAACGAUGAGUGCUAAGUGUUGGGAGGUUUCCGCCUCUCAGUGCUGCAGCUAACGCAUUAAGCACUCCGCCUGGGGAGUACGACCGCAAGGUUG
RNAcentral lists this ribosomal RNA (550 nucleotides) under uncultured bacterium. RNAcentral's name for it is "bacterial SSU rRNA". It matches the Rfam family "Bacterial small subunit ribosomal RNA", at positions 355 to 896 of the family's 1533-position model. The record is from RNAcentral.